Molecule: long non-coding RNA, 3426 nt
Organism: Syngnathoides biaculeatus (alligator pipefish)
Lineage: Eukaryota; Metazoa; Chordata; Actinopteri; Syngnathiformes; Syngnathidae
Exons: 5
Source: RefSeq, a predicted model, not a curated record
CGUCGUGGGCCAAUGGCACACGGCGCAGCUUGGUCGCAGUAUGCGCGCCUGGCCAAUCGCGCACGCCCCCCCCUGCUCACAUGACGCCUUUCUAUAUGUUGGCUCUCCUCUCAACGCUCAAUAGCGACCAACCCAGGCAUCAUUGCAGACUUGACACCGGCCAACUGGGACGUCCAACAUCUACGGUGUGCAGUGAGAAUGUGUGCUUAAAAAGAAAAAAAAAAAACAAAAAAGAAAAAUGAAAAAAUACAUCACAUGAAGAUGUGCACAUGAUGACUCUCACUGCAGAGGAAGGACAACACACUUUUCCGCAAGCAGACGACCGGAGAUGCACGCGACGAGACACAAACGCCCAUAAGUUGCUAAAAUAAAUCUUCAGUUCAUGCAUGGCGUUGCCAUGAGAGGAAGAAUAGAGAACAAGUGCCUCCAACACAGAGGAGGGGAGGAAGGGAAGCCCCAGAGCAGAACACGACAAGAAAAAGACAAAAGUGAUUAAAGAGUGGUCCAGACAUGUUGACGGCAAACAUAAACACGCACAACCACAUAUACAACGGCACCUUGGGUCUGUCUGUGGUCUAACACCAGCAUACCAUCCUCGCCAUCCCCGCAUUUGUCGCCGCAUGCCACACACACACCAUUUCCUUUUACGGUACCUUGAAUUUCUUAAGCUUGUGCAGCUGCCACCAAAUCAAAUGAGCAACUAUUGCCCAAAUGGCCGCAAGAUAAAAACAGGCAGCAUUCCAUCUCUGACGAGACAGAAGAAGAUGCACACACACACACACACACACACACACACACACCACACACACACACACACACACACACACAGCCAGGGGCGCGUGAGCAGGUGAGCAUUAAGUCAGGCACUAAACAUUGCGGUUUGAUAUCAGUAGACAGACAGAGGAUGCCGGUUUGUACCUGCAGGCAGUCAGCAGCACCCUCACCAGGAAUGUCCUCCCACUUGUGAGACACAUAAAUGUAACUGUGGGCUUUCCUCUCAAACACCGUUAUGACCGGCUGAAACUGGUCUUCAAAUCGAAACUGCUAACCAUCUUCGAAUCAUCGCCAAAACACACCAUCACCAAAUCAUAAUAAUCCCAAUUUGCAUCGGCAACAUCAUCAAAUAGCCACUUGGUCUAUGGCUGAAUAUUUUGAAGUAUCACGUAUAAUUCAAUGAGAACUUAAGGCAAACGUCCAACAACUUUGCAAUGCUGUACAGAAGUGGGGGGGUGGGACUCCCUAAAUGUGUCCUCAUUUGAUUUUUGCGUGAUCUUGCUAUCAAUUGACCAUAACAUUUAUAAAUAAAUAAAUUAAAAGUAUCACCAAAUCUCUAUUAUGUAUUGUGAACCAUUCUGAAGCAAUUGUUUACAGUAAUACUACAAUUGUACCUUAAAUUGUGAUUUUCCACUGGCUACCAUGGCAACCCCACAUUACCUUCUUUAGUGGCCACUUCCAUGGUAAAAUAAAAAAAUAUAUAUAUUGCCCAGAUAAUGAACCUCCUGUACUAGUUCAACCUGAGCCAAGAAAGAAAAGGUUAUGUAUUGUCAUUAUAUUUCAGCACACAUUCACAUGCUACUCUGAUAUUGACGACAGGGACUUCCUUUGUCACUUUGGAGUAAUUUGAUCAUCCCUGUUGAAAUUGUCUUUCUGGAAUAACAAGGAUGUAACGACAAGGUAACCGGCAUCAUUUGAGAAACUCUGACGAUAUCAAUUACCCCGACCUGUUCUGCUAGUUAGCUUUCGUGGGAACUUCACAGGGCCCCUUGGGUGUGUAUUUUUGGGUAACCUAUUGUGUAAUAUAUCACCUGUAGUGGUGUGAAAAUUAAGAUGGCCACCAAGCACAACCAAGUCUAGGGAACCAUUUUAGGAGGAACGAAAUAAUGAGUGUGGAUUUACUUUGUUGGUAAGCGCUUCGUGAACAUGUAUAUUUUUAAGAAACCCACCACCUCCGCUCAUCUAAUGAUGACUCAGUGGUUAAAUGUCAGAGCUGUCCGCGCCAUUAAGGCCAACGCGUUUGAAGGCUGGACACCCUCAAACCCCACCCUCACCUCCCCAUGUCUCUUCUUAUUUCUCUCUCGCUUCCACUCUGACUUUGCCUUCAUCCGCCAUCAUCCAUCUCCCACACAUCCAGGCUGGUUUGAGGGCUGAUCUGUGCACAGACCUUGUCAUUCACAUUAGGGCAACAUUGUCAGCUCAGGGCCAUUCCUUUUCUCCCUCUCUCCCUCUCUCUCUCUCUCUUCAUGGCCCAGAUCUUUCUUCCUGUCACCCUCAUCCUCAGGCCAGAGAAGACCUUAUACAGCAACAUCCUUCUCAUCCACUUCUGUCAAUUCCAACACUGUCAUUCAAAUCCAGUUUCGUGAGGGAGCACACAAGCCGAGUUUCUAACAUCCCUUGCAGCAAGGCCUGUGCUGUUUUUGGUCCAAACUUGGUGUUGCAGUGGCAAACAACCGCUUAAUUUUUUAGGGGUGGGGGGAAUGGAGAUUUUUUUUUUUGCACAGGCAGUGGCAGAAGAGGAAAAUGCAGGAAAAUGAGCACGACAGGCAUGUAUAAAAUUAUUACCUGAUGGAGUUUAAUGAUUGUGGUAUUUUGUUUCACAUUGCCUAAGUGAUUUAGUCUGUUCUUUAAAAGUUUCCCAAUAGCAUACUUUCCUUGCUGGCCCCAUCCAGAGCUUUUGCCACUUAUGUACAGUUACAUUUUUUCUAUAAGCAGAUUAAGAAUGUUGCCUGGUAAAACAUCAACACCUCAAUGUUUGGUAAAACCUUUCACACAAGGCGCUGCACAGUUUUAAUCGUUGAACAGCAAAGAUUACAUCAUAGCAAAACCGAUUUUUAAUUAAGGUGAGUAGACAGUUUCAUCCUGCACAUUGAAAGACGUUCUUGACAUGACGACGCCCUGCAGAGACCACACCACACCUAAAAACUGCCAUGACUCAGCAGUUUUGAGACGACAUCAUUCUGUUUCUUGUGCUAUUUUAAAGCAAAUAAAGCCCUUUUCUAUACAGCGACACUAUCCGUAGAGUCAUAAUGAUAAUGUGUUGCAGGAGUAGGACUUGGUGACAGUUCAUGACAGGCCAGUGUUGACAUUGCUGGCAUUUAACAAUGAGUGAGGCAAAGCCAGUUCAUUGUGCAAGGGUUAGUCUUGUUAGUGGAGAAUAUGGCGUGUGCAUAAGCUCUAACGAUACAUCUCUACCAGUUCCUUUUUUAAUCCUCUUUUACUGUCAUUCUCAGGUUCAGUAGUGCACGGUACGGUACAAUAUGGUAUAUAUGCAUAUACGUAGAAAUGUAUUUUUUAAGUAAGCUUACUAAUGCAUGUGUUUAGAAUUAGCAUUGUGUGUACACUGUAGGCAUUUGCAGAAUGUGGCCAAGCCAGCCAUGUUUUUUGAAGCUUUUUUGUUGUUGUUGUUGUUGCUAUCCAUGGUAACCAUCG